GCAUAGGCCUAUGUGGUUAACUACGUCACAUCCGGGCCAGUGCUCCACUUUCCCUGAAGCCGCUGAUCGUUUAGACUGAAGACGAGGGAUGCGUCUGUUUCAAUGAUGAACAGAAGUGCAGAGAUGAAUCCAGGACGUGUUCUCCCCCGACCUCCUGACUGACGUCUGGUCCUCAUGUCGGAGUUUGACUGAACUGACAAAUGCAGAAAUGAAUCCAGGCCGUGUUCUCCCCCGACCUCCUGACUGACGUCUGGUCAUCAUGUCGGAGUUUGACUGAACUGAAAAAUCCAGAAGUGCAGAGAUGAAUCCAGGUCGUGUUCUCCCCCGACCUCCUGACUGACGUCUGGUCCUCAUGUCGGAGUUUGACUGAACUGAAAAAUGCAGAAGUGCAGAUAUGAAUCCAGGUCGUGUUCUACCCCGACCUCCUGACUGACGUCUGGUCCUCAUGUCCGAGUUUGACUGAACUGAAAAAUCCAGGUUUGUGAAAAUGAAACAUAUGGAAACGGGGUUAACAGCUUUAACAGUGAAGGAACUUCUUUCUGUCAACUACCGCCGUAAUAAACAUUAACAGCUGAGAGCAGCGCUGAACUUGUAAACAGCAACAAAUCAUAGUCUCAGGUUAUUAGCUGCUCAUCUCUCAAAGUGUUGGGAGUAAACCAGUAGCUCCUGUGCAGACCUUUUCCAGCGAGACCCAGCCUGCAGUGGCUCUGUUCUUUCCUAUUGUGUCUGCUAGAGAGCCAUGAGGCCGUUUGAGGCCCUGCUGUGUUUCUCCAUGGCGGGGUUAUAGGUAAACCUCAGACACACUGUCCACUCUGUCAAAGAAGUUAUUAUGACUGAAAUGAUGAGUCUGCUUUAAGGCUGUAUCUUGUCUUAUAGAAAACAUUGUCAAACUGUAGAGGGUUAAUUGUGCCUUGGAAAUUUGUGAAAACCAAUUUUAAAAAAAAAAAAAAAAAAAAUGUAUGGAAGCGAGCUUCUGUUAUUGAUUUAGUAUUUCAUCUGUUUUUAUUUAGGAAUACAUAUAUUGUGCUUUCUUUAAAGAAAGUUGCACAAAUGAUAAUUAAUGAGGGAGGAUUCUAAGAUCUAAUCUCUAUUAACAGUUUACCUUCAGUUUGUGUGAUAAACUUAGUUAAAGAUCUGAAGUCAAACAGAAAUAAUGUUGAUGUCAGUCUCUUCAGCAGAGUUCAUUAUGUGACCAGUGUUACAGAUUUAAGAGCAAAAACGAAUGUAUUAGCAAAAAUAAAUAACUAACCUUUUUCUGUUCUAUUCUCUGCACAGGAAGUGAAACACAGAAGUAUCUGAGCUGAGGCUGGUCAUCCUGUGGACGUCUCUCUUUAGGACACAUUUACAUGAUGUCACAGAUUGUAUAACAUGAUGUGUAUCUGUAAUUUCACUGCUGAGGAUCAAAACUUGCAGUUUCUUUAUGCUUUAAAUGAGCAAAUGCACCAGAGAAAAACACUGACUGAAGAACUAAUGAGGAACAAAGAAGGUCGAGAUGUUACGAUCACUGAAAUAAAAUCUGUGUGGGAUUUAUUUGAAAUGAUUAAAGUGUCCAGACAAUACAAACUGUCCUACAAUAAAAACAAGGUUUAUGAACUGUU
Long non-coding RNA from Pleuronectes platessa (European plaice), 1598 nucleotides. RefSeq lists it as uncharacterized. The record is from RefSeq and is a predicted model, not a curated record. NCBI's taxonomy places the organism in Eukaryota, Metazoa, Chordata, Actinopteri, Pleuronectiformes, Pleuronectidae. The transcript is spliced from 6 exons.